RNAcentral lists this unclassified non-coding RNA (337 nucleotides) under soil metagenome. RNAcentral describes it as "partial contains 5.8S ribosomal RNA, internal transcribed spacer 2, and large subunit ribosomal RNA". The stretch from base 1 to 120 matches the Rfam family "5.8S ribosomal RNA", at positions 35 to 154 of the family's 154-position model. The record is from RNAcentral.
GAUGAAGAACGUAGCGAAAUGCGAUAAGUAGUGUGAAUUGCAGAAUUCAGUGAAUCAUCGAAUCUUUGAACGCACAUUGCGCCCCAUGGUAUUCCGUGGGGCAUGCCUGUUCGAGCGUCAUUUACCCCCUCAAGCUCCGCUUGGUGUUGGGCGUCUGUCCCGCUUCGCGCGCGGACUCGCCCCAAAGGUAUUGGCAGCGGUCGUGCCAGCUUCCCGCGCAGCACAUUGCGCUUCUCGAGGCACCGGUGGGCCCGCGUCCAUCAAGCUCACCCCCCCAGUUUGACCUCGGAUCAGGUAGGGAUACCCGCUGAACUUAAGCAUAUCAAUAAGCGGAGGA